Molecule: long non-coding RNA, 1953 nt
Organism: Vespa mandarinia (Asian giant hornet)
Lineage: Eukaryota; Metazoa; Arthropoda; Insecta; Hymenoptera; Vespidae
Source: RefSeq, a predicted model, not a curated record
AGUUAUUAUUUUGAUUUUUCCACUCUUCUACUAACCAAAAUAAAAAUUUUUUAACAAAGAUCUACGUACAUCUUAAUAAAAGUUCUGGCUGUAAAAAAACCAUUAUUAUCAAUUAAUUAAUAAAGUUGAUGGUGACGUAAAAUAUUAUUAAAAUUAGUAUCAUUAAAUGCAGUUUUGAAAUAUAUUAAUAUGAAGACCAGAUCAACACGUCAUAAAUGGAAAGAUACAUUUCAGCUUGCAGAAGGGAAGAAAACGACGAGGAAGUGGAAAUAUAUUUUCAUGAAACGACACAAAAAUGGAAUCUCCUGAAAUUAACAUAUGACUAUUGCCGUUCUAAAAUAUAAAUGAGAAAAAUUAUUAGAAUUUUGUAAUCUCUCGAUAAAGAACAAUAUAUCAUCGAACGUUUCUAAAAUAUAUAUAGUUAAAAAUUAAAUGAGACAACAAAUUAUCCAGGAAAACUCGGAAUUAUCUACAAAUGAAAAUAAGCUUAUCUCUAAAAACAAUGAAAAAGAAAACGAAGAUGGAAAUGUCCAGGAUUAUAGAAUCAUCUACUUUUGGAAAAAUUGACAAAGGUGAUAACUUCUGUGACAAAGAAAUAAAUGCGUAAGGAAGAAAAUACGAAAUUCUAUAGUAAAAGGCAACAAAACUGCAACAAGAAAAGACAUAUAAGCUGCAGUUCGUGGGAGAAUUGAAAUUAGCAAUAGAGGAAGAAACCUAAAAUUAUGCAACAAAGGAAGAAAAUAAACAAGAAGAAACACGCUUAGUAAACAUCUUCAGUUAUAUGCAUCUGCACCUCUGCUGACACGCUUUUCCACAUUACAAUAAAUUCAUGGUACUGAUGUGAUAUUGCCACAUCUUGAUAUAUCUCACACUUUUCCUCUGUGUUUCCACUGUGCAAUUGCUUCUUUUAAAGGAAUAGUGUUUUAUCGCUGAACAAGAAGAAGAAGGAAAGUCAGUUUUAAUUCAGUAGUCAACAGUCUUAAUUAGAGAAUGUCUGAACUGAAUCUUUCCAAUCGGUUCAUAACUCUGUAAAUCUAUUAAUAUGUACAUAUUUGUGUCAUAUUUAAUCAUUUUUUACUCCUUAAAUUUUAUUAAUUGCUAACGAUUGACCUAUACUAUUUCUUACAAGUAUGUAGGAAGAGAAAUAAACUAUGCGAAUGUUUGAAUUGUCAGAAAAUAAGCGUAAAUAAUUUUUUAUUUCAAUCGUACAGUUAAUUUCUUUUAUUUUAUAGUAUUUCGUACUAAUUACAUUCGAAUUGUAUUUUUUUCUGUGUAUAUAUAUUUCGAUGUAAGCCAUUUCAAAAGUAUCUCAAUAAUUAUUAAUAUAUUACUUUAUUUUCUCGCACACAUGUUGAUUAAGUUCUUUGAAAAAUUUCUAAUUUUGUGUCUGAAUAUACAAAAAAUAGAGGUUUUGUCAUUUGUAAAUAGUUAUGUUAAAUUUUAGAAAAUAUAUAUAAAUUAUAAAAUCAAUCAUAAAUAAUGAAAUAUAUUAAAAUUAUAAAUCAUUCUGUAUUAUAUUAAAAGUUAUAUUUUAUGGUUGUUCGAAUAAAAUGCAAAGUUAGAUAGGAAUUGAGAGUCACUGUUACGUUUCUCACAAGUGCUCAGAUGGUUUACUAUUCCUAUAUAAUAAAUUUCCAAGCUUAAUAUUAACGAAGUUUCUUCGUGCGUCACUUCGGAGCCACUAGCGGAGUUCGUCAGUAACUCUCAACUUGCUUUGAGGAAAGUCCCUGGACCUUCGGCAGAGAGUGCCGUAACUUAGCUGUUAUAAGCCUUUCUUUGCCGUCUUUCUCGAUUAUAGGAUAGGAAGCCUUUGGCUGAUCUUUUCGAGAUUGGGCGAGAGUGUAUUGGUCAAAGCAAAGUUUUCGAUGUGUUCGAGACGCGAAUUUCUAUCCAUCUUGUAUGGAUGAAUCUUCGUAUCUAACUGAACAGGGCUUUCAGCGAGGAAACUUCUUC